UGCGCAGGCGGUUUUGUAAGACAGUGGUGAAAUCCCCGGGCUCAACCUGGGAACUGCCAUUGUGACUGCAAGGCUGGAGUGCGGCAGAGGGGGAUGGAAUUCCGCGUGUAGCAGUGAAAUGCGUAGAUAUGCGGAGGAACACCGAUGGCGAAGGCAAUCCCCUGGGCCUGUACUGACGCUCAUGCACGAAAGCGUGGGGAGCAAACA
Molecule: ribosomal RNA, 207 nt
Filed under: uncultured bacterium
Lineage: Bacteria
Description: partial 16S ribosomal RNA
Rfam family: Bacterial small subunit ribosomal RNA
Source: RNAcentral